GGGCGAGUGAGCGGUAAAAGCUCAAAUUUGAAAUCUGGUACUUUCAGUGCCCGAGUUGUAAUUUGUAGAAUUUGUCUUUGAUUAGGUCCUUGUCUAUGUUCCUUGGAACAGGACGUCAUAGAGGGUGAGAAUCCCGUUUGGCGAGGAUACCUUUUCUCUGUAAGACUUUUUCGAAGAGUCGAGUUGUUUGGGAAUGCAGCUCAAAGUGGGUGGUAAAUUCCAUCUAAAGCUAAAUAUUGGCGAGAGACCGAUAGCGAACAAGUACAGUGAUGGAAAGAUGAAAAGAACUUUGAAAAGAGAGUGAAAAAGUACGUGAAAUUGUUGAAAGGGAAGGCAUUUGAUCAGACAUGGUGUUUUUUGCAUGC
Molecule: ribosomal RNA, 365 nt
Filed under: Hanseniaspora uvarum
Lineage: Eukaryota; Fungi; Ascomycota; Saccharomycetes; Saccharomycodales; Saccharomycodaceae
Description: partial large subunit ribosomal RNA
Rfam family: Eukaryotic large subunit ribosomal RNA
Source: RNAcentral